Molecule: ribosomal RNA, 648 nt
Filed under: Kuraishia capsulata
Lineage: Eukaryota; Fungi; Ascomycota; Pichiomycetes; Pichiales; Pichiaceae
Description: SSU rRNA
Rfam family: Eukaryotic small subunit ribosomal RNA
Source: RNAcentral
CGAAGCAUUUGCCAAGGACGUUUUCAUUAAUCAAGAACGAAAGUUAGGGGAUCGAAGAUGAUCAGAUACCGUCGUAGUCUUAACCAUAAACUAUGCCGACUAGGGAUCGGGCGUUGUUCUUUUUAUGACUCGCUCGGCACCUUACGAGAAAUCAAAGUUUUUGGGUUCUGGGGGGAGUAUGGUCGCAAGGCUGAAACUUAAAGGAAUUGACGGAAGGGCACCACCAGGAGUGGAGCCUGCGGCUUAAUUUGACUCAACACGGGAAAUCUCACCAGGUCCAGACACAAUAAGGAUUGACAGAUUGAGAGCUCUUUCUUGAUUUUGUGGGUGGUGGUGCAUGGCCGUUCUUAGUUGGUGGAGUGAUUUGUCUGCUUAAUUGCGAUAACGAACGAGACCUUAACCUACUAAAUAGUGCUGUUAGCUUCGGCUGAACUGGCACUUCUUAGAGGGACUAUCCAUUUCAAGUCGAUGGAAGUUUGAGGCAAUAACAGGUCUGUGAUGCCCUUAGACGUUCUGGGCCGCACGCGCGCUACACUGACGGACCCAGCAAGUACUAUCCUUGGCCGAAAGGUCCGGGUAAUCUCCUGAAACUCCGUCGUGCUGGGGAUAGAGCAUUGAAAUUAUUGCUCUUCAACGAGGAAUUCCUAG